UACGUAGGGACCAAGCGUUGUUCGGAUUUACUGGGCGUAAAGGGCGCGUAGGCGGUCAGCACAAGUCAGUUGUGAAAUCUCCGGGCUUAACUCGGAAAGGUCAACUGAUACUGUGCGACUAGAGUGCAGAAGGGGCAACUGGAAUUCUCGGUGUAGCGGUGAAGUGCGUAGAUAUCGAGAGGAACACCUGCGGCGAAGGCGGGUUGCUGGGCUGACACUGACGCUGAUGCGCGAAAGCCAGGGGAGCGAACGGG
RNAcentral lists this ribosomal RNA (254 nucleotides) under uncultured bacterium. RNAcentral describes it as "partial 16S ribosomal RNA". It matches the Rfam family "Bacterial small subunit ribosomal RNA", at positions 524 to 776 of the family's 1533-position model. The record is from RNAcentral.